RNAcentral lists this long non-coding RNA (2702 nucleotides) under Nicotiana benthamiana. RNAcentral's name for it is "long non-coding RNA (NBEN_LNC005113)". The record is from RNAcentral. Lineage: Eukaryota; Viridiplantae; Streptophyta; Magnoliopsida; Solanales; Solanaceae.
CGAAGAGCAAAAACUAAAGUGAAGAGCAAAAACUCACAAAACUCUCUCUAUAAAUCGGUCCUCUCUCUAGAAAUCAGUACUCUUCUGCUAAAAUCUCACCCAAAUCGAAAUCCCUUAAAUCAAAAUGUGAAUCUCAUUUUUCAGGUAUGUUAAAAUCCCUAGUCUUUUCGUUUUUCUUUUGGGGAAAGAAGUUGCUUUGUUGUAAUUGAUUUCGUGGAGGUACAAUGGAACGAACGAUUUCUCUUCCAUAAUCUAACUGAAAACCUUCUUAUUUGGUUACUAUCAUAUAUCUAACUGAAAACCCAUAUUGAUUUAUGUAAGAUAUAUUUACGUUUGGGGUUUUUUAUAAUGAUUUUGUAAGACAAAAUUUUCAACAUGUAGUUAGGGAUAAUUAUUGUUCAGCGAUUUUACAUUUUUAUUCUCAGAUUUCAUCUCGAAUUUCUCUAAGCCAUUUGAUAAUCUACAUGAAUACAAAAAAAUCACACAGAAAGAAUCAUUUGAAGCCUAUUUGGUGUUGUUUUUGUCGAUUCUCGGACUUGACAGAAUCUCAACUAUUUCUUUUUUGGGGUAAGUUAAAAAGCUUCUUCUUGAGAAACCUUUUACAUGUCGACAUUCCAUUCUUAUUGUUCUUAUACGGUUAUGUGCCUAAAUCAGUAGACAUGUAAUUUUUUAUUUUAUAAGGCACAUAUAUGUUAUUGUAUAGUUAUUGUUCUUGUUCUGAAGGUUUCAAGAAUUCACUAUAGGCAUUGAUUCUACACUUCCUAUAAACAAAAUCGACAACAUUGGCUCUUCUUCCACUACUACUUGUCAUGAUUGCAAUUUUCUUGGAAGAUUUGAGUGUGAUUUUUUUCCUUCAGUUUAUUUGAAUUUUUUAAUUUACAAAAUUCGUAUGAGUAAUUAUGUAAUAGAUUGCUUCCUUCUUGUUUGAAUAAUGUGUUUUUGUGACUCUUUGUCUGAAUACCCCAAGUUAAAUUGUCUUUUAGAAUUUCCCAGGUGACUGCUUGUCUCCUACAGAAAAGGAGCAUAAGAUAUUUAAGGCUGUGAUUAAUACAACAACAACAACCCAGUAUAAUCCCACUUAGUGUGGUCUGGGGAGAGACUGUUUCCCAAUAGACUACCGGCAUCCUUCCCUCCAAGAACUUCCCACCUUGCUCUUGGGAAGACUCGAACUUACAACCUCUCGGCUGGAAGUGGGGGUUGCUUACCAUCAGAGCAACCCCUCUUGUCUAAGGCUGUGAUUAAUACUUAAACAAAUUAUUGCGAGACAAAAUAGAAAAUUCUUAAAGCAAAUUCAGUGUGCAGCCUUGACGGGAUGUCUUGGUAUCUCAGAUUGUCGAUCGAAUAUUGAAUUUUUGAGUAGUUUGUCGGGUUUAGAGGAGGAUGGUGUUGGUAUUAGCAUUGGGCGAUCUUCACAUCCCGCAUAGGGCUACUGGUCUUCCCGCUAGGUUUAAAUCUAUGCGUGUUCCUGAAAGAUUCAUCAUAUCAUAUGUAAUGGUAGCCUUUGCAUUAAAGUGAGCCUUUCUUAAUAUUAUUAUAGUGUUCCUGGAAAGUUCCAACAUAUCACUAGGUAAUAAAUGGACUUAAUUAACAGAAAAUUUAGAAGUUGUUGAAAGGGAGUGAUGCGUCUUGGGCAGAGUAGAUGCUUCUCUAAUAUCUCUACAUGUUUGUUCCAAGUUUAGAACCUCCUUGAAUCUGCGAAAAGAUGAGUUUUCUCAAAAGCUAAACCAUAAAAAUGAAUAGAUAACUUCUAUUCUAUGCCAUAGUCCAGAGAGUAAUUUCAUAUGGUAUGUGAUAAAAUCAUAUUUCACAUUAUUAAAUCACUAAAAUGGAUAUCCUUCAUGGAUUCUGCAUAUUAGUUAUCACUUAGAAAGGUUAUUCUAUGUUGUUAAAUGCUAUGUUAAGGUGUUAUUACACAGCUCGUCGACUCCUGUUUACGCCUCAAUCGCGUGUUGAUCUUUUGACGAAAGAGAACGAAGACAUGAGAAGAAUCGUCUGAGAGGGUUAGGCAACAACAUUUUUUUCAAUAUAUUUUAGUUUGUAGCUGUCAGCUGAGACCCUUAUAUCACAAUUCUGUAAUCUUAUACUAUCUUCAGGAAGAGGAACAUGGUAAAGAGAUAGUUGAGCUUUUUAUGGAACUUAUGUAACAUAUCUGUAGUCUUUGCUGUAACCUUGACCAAAUGUGCCAUUUAGCAAUCUGCAGAAUUUUUUUAUCUGUUGCAUUGGUUUUUAUUGAAGUUAAUCAGGGCUCAAUUUUUGGCUCAAAAUCUUGCUUGAACUCUCAAUACUCUUUAGCAAAAACAAAUAUAGUAUUAGAACGAUAAUGAAGUGGUAAUCGGAAAUUUGUAGUUCAAAAGGCAUAAAUAUGAAAAGAGAACCUGUGGCAUCAUGAGAGUUUUUGGAUAAAAUGUAGACUUGAUAUUUGAUUCAAAUAUCACAAUGAUAUAAAGGGGGAUGAAGAAGAAAAUAUACCUUUGUCGCUUGCUGUUGAAAUCAAUUUAGUAGUAGAACAGUUAUGGUCUAUAGGUGUUACUUCCACCAACACAGCCUUUAUAUGUGCAACAUUUUUUUAUGUGUUUUCCAUGGUUGUCUAAAUUUGAAAUAGGUCCAGGGUUUCACUUGAACAUUUAUGUGUUAAUUUAAGGCAUAUCUCUGGAUUGUUCUUGUUAAUACUGCAUCAAACAAAAAUGAACAGACUCAUCUCC